Molecule: ribosomal RNA, 379 nt
Filed under: uncultured eukaryote
Lineage: Eukaryota
Description: partial 18S ribosomal RNA
Rfam family: Eukaryotic small subunit ribosomal RNA
Source: RNAcentral
CAAUAGCGUAUAUUAAAGUUGUUGCGGUUAAAAAGCUCGUAGUUGGAUUUCUGUUGAGGACGGCCGGUCCGCACUAUGUGCGUGUAUCUGGUUCGGCCUCGGCAUCCUCUUGAGGAACGUUUCUGCGCUUGAUUGCGUGGAGCGGUAUUCAAGACUUUUACUUUGAGGAAAUUAGAGUGUUCACGGCAGGCAAGCGCCUUGAAUAUGUUAGCAUGGAAUAAUAAUAUAGGAUCUUGGUUCUAUUUGUUGGUUUCUAGGGCUAAGGUAAUGAUUAAUAGGGAUAAUUGGGGGCAUUUGUAUUAACUCGUCAGAGGUGGAAUUCUUGGAUUGAGUUACGACAAACUACUGCGAAAGCAUUUGCCAAGGAUGUUUUCAUUGA